AACCUCCGCAAUGUGAGAAAUCGCGACGGGGGGAUCCCAAGUGCCAUUCUUAACGGGAUGGCUUUUCAUUAGUGUAAAGAGCUUUUGGAAUAAGAGCUGGGCAAGACCGGUGCCAGCCGCCGCGGUAACACCGGCAGCUCUAGUGGUAGCAAUUUUUAUUGGGCCUAAAGCGUCCGUAGCCGGUUUAAUAAGUCUCUGGUGAAAUCCUGCAGCUUAACUGUGGGAAUUGCUGGAGAUACUAUUAGACUUGAGACCGGGAGAGGUUAGAGGUACUCCCAGGGUAGAGGUGAAAUUCUGUAAUCCUGGGAGGACCGCCUGUUGCGAAGGCGUCUAACUGGAACGGUUCUGACGGUGAGGGACGAAAGUUAGGGGCGCGAACCGGAUUAGAUACCCGGGUAGUCCUAACUGUAACGAUGCGGACUUGGUGUUGGGGUGGCUUUGAGCUGCUUCAGUGCCGAAGGGAAGCUGUUAAGUCCGCCGCCUGGGAAGUACGGUCGCAAGACUGAAACUUAAAGGAAUU
RNAcentral lists this ribosomal RNA (520 nucleotides) under uncultured bacterium. RNAcentral describes it as "bacterial SSU rRNA". It matches the Rfam family "Archaeal small subunit ribosomal RNA", at positions 345 to 866 of the family's 1478-position model. The record is from RNAcentral.